This 320-nucleotide long non-coding RNA is filed under the name Ananas comosus (pineapple). Its description in RNAcentral is "long non-coding RNA (ACOM_LNC009388)". Lineage: Eukaryota; Viridiplantae; Streptophyta; Magnoliopsida; Poales; Bromeliaceae. The record is from RNAcentral.
AUUUUGAAACAAAUACCCGGACUUUAUUUCUUUCUAUUAUUGAGUUUUCACAGAUCGACUUUUAACCAUAGUUAGUUAAUUCGCGAAUUAUUCGCGAAUUAUUGAAAAUCUGAAUAAAACGGUUCAUAUGCGAUUUAUUCCCAAAAAUUCGGAAUAAAAUGCGAAUUUUUUGCUUAAAUUUAUUAUUCGCGAAUAAUUCGCAUAUGCCGAACUAUUCGGCCAAAAUAAUGCGCAAAGUUUUUUGGAUAACAUGAAUUAUUGAAAAACUUUAUAAACUUUCAAAAUAUGUGGAUCAUAAAAAAAAUGGAAAUGGAAAUGAC